GACGAACGCUGGCGGCGUGCUUAACACAUGCAAGUCGAACGGAAAGGCCCUGCUUUUGUGGGGUGCUCGAGUGGCGAACGGGUGAGUAACACGUGAGUAACCUGCCCUUGACUUUGGGAUAACUUCAGGAAACUGGGGCUAAUACCGGAUAGGAGCUCCUGCUGCAUGGUGGGGGUUGGAAAGUUUCGGCGGUUGGGGAUGGACUCGCGGCUUAUCAGCUUGUUGGUGGGGUAGUGGCUUACCAAGGCUUUGACGGGUAGCCGGCCUGAGAGGGUGACCGGCCACAUUGGGACUGAGAUACGGCCCAGACUCCUACGGGAGGCAGCAGGGGGGAGUAUUGCACAAUGGGCGGAAGCCUGAUGCAGCAACGCCGCGUGCGGGAUGACGGCCUUCGGGUUGUAAACCGCUUUCGCCUGUGACGAAGCGUGAGUGACGGUAAUGGGUAAAGAAGCACCGGCUAACUACGUG
This 468-nucleotide ribosomal RNA is filed under the name uncultured bacterium. RNAcentral describes it as "partial 16S ribosomal RNA". It matches the Rfam family "Bacterial small subunit ribosomal RNA", at positions 28 to 507 of the family's 1533-position model. The record is from RNAcentral.